GAUGAAGAACGCAGCGAAAUGCGAUAAGUAAUGUGAAUUGCAGAAUUCAGUGAAUCAUCGAAUCUUUGAACGCACAUUGCGCCCGCCAGUAUUCUGGCGGGCAUGCCUGUUCGAGCGUCAUUUCAACCAUCAAGCCCUGCUUGCGUUGGGGUCCUGCGGCUGCCCGCAGGCCCUGAAAACCAGUGGCGGGCUCGCUAGUCACACCGAGCGCAGUAAUACAUCUCGCUUUGGGCGUGCGGCGGGUUCUUGCCGUUAAACACCCCCUUUCUACAAAGGUUGACCUCGGAUCAGGUAGGAAUACCCGCUGAACUUAAGCAUAUCAAUAAGCGGAGGA
Molecule: unclassified non-coding RNA, 334 nt
Filed under: soil metagenome
Description: partial contains 5.8S ribosomal RNA, internal transcribed spacer 2, and large subunit ribosomal RNA
Rfam family: 5.8S ribosomal RNA (bases 1-120)
Source: RNAcentral